UUUUUUUUUUUGCUGCCCCAGUGGAUUAGGAUUAGCGCUGCAGUCAAAUGAAAAAGGUCAAGACAAAAAAUUAGGCUAAUAUAACUAGCCGACAGGCUAGCGGCAUUUCUCUGGGGCCGAGGAAUUUCACGAAGAAGAUCUCUGCGAGGCCCAGAAGGCCGCACAACUACUUCGUCAGAAACAAAAUUUUUUAAAAAAGUAAAAAUAGAGGAAGUCAGCUAGUUUAUCACCUUGGAACCAGCGUUUUGUUUGGCUUUUCCGCUUUUCACUCUACGAAAAAGCCCAUUGGCGGCUACCCAGGUUACCGUCCUGUUGCCAUUGCGCCUGCGCGGCGGUUUGUUUACCAGUCCAGGCGAAGCGCUGUGUCGCGGUUCUCGCCACCCCGAGCGCCUUGGUUUGCUCCCUUGACGUGUAAUUCGUAAUGAAAGUCAUGUUUUCAUUUGGGAACACGGAUCGGAGGUUUAAAACUGGACAGUUUAAGUGUCAACGUGAGACCAAAGAAAAUAAUGGUAGGGAAAACACUGGACACUCAGAAAUCGGUGCCGCGUCAGAGCUGUCACGGAAGAUGUUUCUAAUGAACCUGAGGAAAACAAUAGCACCACCCUAACCAGAACUAAAAAGUGGCAAGCAGCCACAGUUAAUGAAACUCAUAGGUGGCAUUUAGUUACUUAUUUAGAAUGUAGGCCUAGUUAUGGUAAAAAUGCAAAUAAGACCAAACCUAAGGUCAUCUUGCUCGAGCAAACCUCAAGCAAAACCUACAUGAUUUAAGACUGACUCUUGAAGCGAAGUAAAAAAAAAAAAAAAAAAAGCAGCCAUGCAAAAUUUGAAACUUAGAGACGACUCUAGAAGCAUUAACCCAAGAAAGCACAAGCCAACAAACAAAUUUUUGAAAUGGUUUGAAGAGCUCUUCAAAGUCAGUUUCAGGUGGCUUAGAAAAGGAUGUUGCUUAUAAAAUGAGAUCUGAUGGAAACUUGUUUUACAGAUAUGACUGGAUUCGUUUGAAAACAAAAAAAAAAGGCAGGCAAAGUGACUUUUUAAAAAGUAUUUUUAUGGAAGGAUUUCUAAUGAUACAUUUUAAUGUGCUCAAAAAACAACCUUAAAUAACUGGUAGAUUCAGCCAAACCUGGAUCAUUAUUAUCUUAGAGUUGGAUAAGAGCAUAAAUGUUAACAAUUUGGCAAUUUUAUUGGACUCUGUUAUGUUUUUGAAUGGUGAAUUUGAAGACUUCAACUUGUAACAAGAAAUUUUCUAAAAGUGGGAUUUUCAAGAGAUACGAAAUUAAGCAGAGAAUAUGUAUGGACAUGUGAACAGAUGGAACCAAAUUUUGAAAGCUUUGCCUGUGUCCAGCAUCGGUCACAGAAAAUCCUUUUAUCUCAAGAAACUAGCCUCUGGAUUUUCUCAUGUUCAAUAUGAUAAAACUCAGUAAAUCCAGCAGCUUGAAUACCUUUUAACACGAAUUUGUACCAAAAUGGGAAGUAACUUUAAAAUUCCGCUCCAUUAUCUAGAGGUACUCUGACUUGGUUAAGAUGGGGUCUCCUCAUGUUGCUCCUGCUGGUCUUGAACACCUGGCCUCAAGCGAUCCUCCCACAUCGGCUUUCCAAAGUGCUGAGAUUACAGGUUGUGAAGAUUACAGAAAUCUGGGAUGGCUUAUGGGACGCUUCUCAGCCCUAAGUAGGAAAACAGCAGUGAAAAUGGCAACCAAAACAUCACGCAGGACUGGGGGUUUUGGGGAAACAGCUCACUUUAGAGCAGUGCAGUGUAGAGCUUUCCUUCUUCUACCAGGUUCCACCUUUAACACUGUUUAUCUGAAAAUUUUCCCCCUGGCUUACUCGCUUGCAGCUGCCCACUUUGCAGGAGGAUGGCGCUCUGAUCUCUACGCUCCCUGUUCCUUCAGGGACUCCAUAGUAUUUUUUUUCACGCUUCGUCGCUACUACAGCAGACGCCUGCGUUCUCAUUAUUUGCUGUACAGAUCUCCGGUGCCUUGACUGUAAACAAAACACUUUAGAUCAUUGUGAGGUCGAUGUAAGCACAGCCUUUCUGCUGGCAGCCAGACUUCUUAAGGUGGCGUGACUGUGACUUGCUUACUUUUCGAGAUCAACAACAACAAAGCGACAAAAUGGUGCUCCUACAUAUUAGUUGAAAGAUUCAGCAUGUGAAGGGGAUCGAAGUGUUUAUUUUCCACUUCCAUAUAAGACAUGAAUUCCAUGAGUAAAAUCAAACUUCUGUGGCAA
Molecule: long non-coding RNA, 2229 nt
Organism: Gorilla gorilla gorilla (western lowland gorilla)
Lineage: Eukaryota; Metazoa; Chordata; Mammalia; Primates; Hominidae
Exons: 3
Source: RefSeq, a predicted model, not a curated record